RNAcentral lists this ribosomal RNA (463 nucleotides) under uncultured bacterium. RNAcentral's name for it is "partial 16S ribosomal RNA". It matches the Rfam family "Bacterial small subunit ribosomal RNA", at positions 28 to 507 of the family's 1533-position model. The record is from RNAcentral.
GACGAACGCUGGCGGCGUGCUUAACACAUGCAAGUCGAACGGAAAGGCCUUUUCGGAGGUACUCGAGUGGCGAACGGGUGAGUAACACGUGGGUGAUCUGCCCUGCACUCUGGGAUAAGCCUGGGAAACUGGGUCUAAUACCGGAUAGGACCGCACUUUAGUGUGUGUGGUGGAAAGUUUUUUCGGUGUAGGAUGAGCCCGCGGCCUAUCAGCUUGUUGGUGGGGUAAUGGCCUACCAAGGCGGCGACGGGUAGCCGGACUGAGAGGUUGGUCGGCCACAUUGGGACUGAGAUACGGCCCAGACUCCUACGGGAGGCAGCAGUGGGGAAUAUUGCACAAUGGGCGCAAGCCUGAUGCAGCGACGCCGCGUGGGGGAUGACGGCCUUCGGGUUGUAAACUCCUUUCGCCAGGGACGAAGCGUUUUGUUACGGUACCUGGAGAAGAAGCACCGGCUAACUACGUG